Long non-coding RNA from Dermacentor andersoni, 1827 nucleotides. RefSeq lists it as uncharacterized. The record is from RefSeq and is a predicted model, not a curated record. NCBI's taxonomy places the organism in Eukaryota, Metazoa, Arthropoda, Arachnida, Ixodida, Ixodidae.
GAUGCUUUGACGAUAAAUACUUAUUAAAAUUCAAAUUAUUUAUUUCUGCCUUGUAAAGGUACAGACAGCAGAGGCGCAGAAAAAGCUGUCAGAUACAGAUUGACAAAGCCGCAGCCCCCUUUCGCUUGGCAGAGCCUUUACAGCGACACUUUUAAAACAAAGACAAUUGCACCCGGUAAUAACAGGUAUACAAUACUGAGCAAGUACAAAAGGAAACCAAUCAAGAUUAUACGAUAUUUGUACAAUACUCCCAAACAAGAAAACAGAACCUACAUGCUAACGUACAUAGCACCCAAAGUACUGUUCGACACGUUGAAGAGGUCAAAAUUAUUGUUCACAUAAGGUAUAUACAUAUUCGUAUAGCGCUACCAAUCCCUGCAAAAUAUAGAACGCAGAUUUUCAUUACACACACGCACGCACGCACGUACACAGCACACACACCAAAAGGAAACGGCAACGCGCUCACAGGAAGCGCCUGAAAAACGAAAAAAAAGGAAAAGUGUGGGGAACCGAGGUCGUCUUGGGCUGUCGCCUCUCCCUCUCCCAGAAGGAAUGAAGAGGUUCUUGGAAAGCAGGGACGGGCGAUUCUCUCUGUCAGCAUCAGCUCCCACCAGCGAGGACGGGGCGAGAAAGCGAAACGGGACUUUCCUUGCUGUCUAUUUUUUCUUCGUCAGGCCAACGCCGCUUGCUUGCAGGGGCGCAGGCGAGUUCCCGCCAAAUGGCGCGGGUGCGUGAGUUGCCGCCAAAUGCUAGCUCUGGAUGCCAGCUCGUUCCGCGUCUCAUGGUAGACUAGUUGGUGCAUUUCUGUUAUCAUGGACUGCGCAUAUAAACGCAAGCUACACAAAAGUGACAAGGACAAGAACAGCGCAAGCCCUUUACAUGCAGUGGAGCCGCCGUAUCUCGCCGUUCAAGAUAUGCGUACUCGUAAGUGGCAUUUUAAUUUCACGUUGUGUAAUGCAUGACUGUCUUUUUCAAGUGAACAAAGGUCGCUUUGUAUUGUGUAAAUGGUUUUGCAACGUAUGAUAAACUCCUUGUCUUUCGGGCUUAUUUUUUCUGACAGGAAGAAAAAAAAAAGAGGCUUUACAUGAGAACGGAUCAAGCGUUCGAGAGUUGGGACAGAGAAAUGUGAGACGUACUUUCAUGUAUAUAUUUCUAAUAUUAUUUUUUCGUCUUGUAUUCUCGUUAAUUUUUCUCUAGGAAACGCUGGAACGACACUGCUUAAAUUGAAGCACAGUACGUGUGCGAAUGACCUGCUACGCUCGGAACUGUUAUCACCAUUCGGGAAGAAAUUGGAUGAAAAAAUAUAACUGUAAAUACCUGUAUGAUAUACGUCUGGUGCAUUGCAGGUAAGAAUGGAUUGUGUGUGGCGCGCUUCACCGCAUGUGGACUAGAGUAGAUCUAGGAACAUCAGACAAGAAGACACGUAUGUGAAACCCUGCGGAUAGCCCAUAUGUGAACUUUUUUUCCAGAUACGGAGGAACGGACACCGGUCGUGCCGUGAGCACUAUUCUGCAGGGCAUACUUCCAAAUGAAGCUGCACUGCAGUUCAGCUGGAAAGGGUCGCAGGGGAGGAAGCACGCCUUCGUGAAGCUCAUGGCCAUCACGAAUAUAACAUCUGUGAGGAGCACGUUCCCUGACGCUUCACUAGCAUCAGUGGCUGGAGUCGCAAAACGCUGGUUGGUUGGAGCAGCUGACAGGGAUGGAGGCCGGAAUGAAAGAAGGCGCUGUGACCCUGCUUCAAGCCCACCAAAUAUGAACUAGUGUUUGAAACUUGUGAACGUGUCGGUGUACAUAUACAAUUACAAGAAAUAAAGACCUGUAUCAGAA